Molecule: ribosomal RNA, 576 nt
Filed under: Cortinarius angelesianus
Lineage: Eukaryota; Fungi; Basidiomycota; Agaricomycetes; Agaricales; Cortinariaceae
Description: eukaryotic LSU rRNA
Rfam family: 5.8S ribosomal RNA (bases 187-340)
Source: RNAcentral
GUGACCUGCGGAAGGANCAUUAUUGAAAUAAACCUGAUGGGCUGCUGCUGGUUCUCUAGGGAGCAUGUGCACGCCUUGUCAUCUUUAUAUCUCCACCUGUGCACCUUUUGUAGACCUUUCAGGUCUAUGUUGCUUCAUUUACCCCCAAUGUAUGUUAAUAGAAUGUUGUGCCUAUAUAAUAUAUACAACUUUCAGCAACGGAUCUCUUGGCUCUCGCAUCGAUGAAGAACGCAGCGAAAUGCGAUAAGUAAUGUGAAUUGCAGAAUUCAGUGAAUCAUCGAAUCUUUGAACGCACCUUGCGCUCCUUGGUAUUCCGAGGAGCAUGCCUGUUUGAGUGUCAUUAAUAUAUAUAUCAACCCUCCUCUUUUUGAGUGGUUUGGAUGUGGGGGUUUGCUGGCCUCUUAGAGGGUUCAGCUCCCCUGAAAUGCAUCAGCGGAACAACCUGUUCAUUGGUGUGAUAACUAUCUACGCUAAUUUGAAUGUGAAGGGCAGUUCGGCUUUCUAACCGUCCUUGGACAAUUUCAUCAUUAAUGUGACCUCAAAUCAGGCAGGACUACCCGCUGAACUUAAGCAUAU